This 491-nucleotide ribosomal RNA is filed under the name uncultured bacterium. RNAcentral describes it as "bacterial SSU rRNA". It matches the Rfam family "Bacterial small subunit ribosomal RNA", at positions 28 to 526 of the family's 1533-position model. The record is from RNAcentral.
GAUGAACGCUAGCGGCAGGCUUAAUACAUGCGAGUCAAACGGGCGUAGCAAUACGUCAGUGGCGCACGGGUGAGUAACGCGUACACAACUUGCCCUUCAGAGAGGAAUAGCCCUAGGAAACUGGGAGUAAUACCUCAUGGUAUCGGUUACAGGCAUCUGUUUCUGAUUAAAGCUCCGGCGCUGAAGGAUAGGUGUGCGUCUGAUUAGCUAGUUGGUAGGGUAACGGCCUACCAAGGCUACGAUCAGUAGGGGGCGUGAGAGCGUGAUCCCCCACACAGGUACUGAGACACGGACCCGACUCCUACGGGAGGCAGCAGUAAGGAAUAUUGGUCAAUGGGCGCAAGCCUGAACCAGCCAUGCCGCGUGUAGUAUGACGGCCCUUCGGGUUGUAACCUACUUUUGAAUGGGAAGAAACCCCUAGAUUUAUCUGGGGCUGACGGUACCAUUAGAAUAAGCAUCGGCUAACUCCGUGCCAGCCGCCGCCGUAACAC